This 87-nucleotide small nucleolar RNA is filed under the name Myotis myotis. RNAcentral describes it as "Small nucleolar RNA SNORD14". It matches the Rfam family "Small nucleolar RNA SNORD14". From Rfam's summary of the family: U14 small nucleolar RNA (U14 snoRNA) is required for early cleavages of eukaryotic precursor rRNAs. In yeasts, this molecule possess a stem-loop region (known as the Y-domain) which is essential for function. A similar structure, but with a different consensus sequence, is found in plants, but is absent in vertebrates. RNAcentral also lists the same sequence under 1 other name. The record is from Rfam by way of RNAcentral. Lineage: Eukaryota; Metazoa; Chordata; Mammalia; Chiroptera; Vespertilionidae.
UCGCUGUGAUGAAUGAUCCUUAAACAUUCGUAGUUUCCACUAAAAGCUUAGCUAAUGAUAGCCUAACUUCCUUGGAUGUCUGAGCGA